UGGGGAAUUUUGGACAAUGGGCGAAAGCCUGAUCCAGCAAUGCCGCGUGUGUGAAGAAGGCCUUCGGGUUGUAAAGCACUUUUGUCCGGAAAGAAAUCCUUGGCUCUAAUACAGUCGGGGGAUGACGGUACCGGAAGAAUAAGCACCGGCUAACUACGUGCCAGCAGCCGCGGUAAUACGUAGGGUGCAAGCGUUAAUCGGAAUUACUGGGCGUAAAGCGUGCGCAGGCGGUUUGCUAAGACCGAUGUGAAAUCCCCGGGCUCAACCUGGGAACUGCAUUGGUGACUGGCAGGCUAGAGUAUGGCAGAGGGGGGUAGAAUUCCACGUGUAGCAGUGAAAUGCGUAGAGAUGUGGAGGAAUACCGAUGGCGAAGGCAGCCCCCUGGGCCAAUACUGACGCUCAUGCACGAAAGCGUGGGGAGCAAACAGGAUUAGAUACCCUGGUAGUCCACGCCCUAAACGAUGUCAACUAGUUGUUAGGGAUUCAUUUCCUUAGUAACGUAGCUAACGCGUGAAGUUGACCGCCUGGGGAGUACGGUCGCAAGAUUAAAACUCAAAUGAAUUGACGGGGUCAUAGCUGUUUCCU
Molecule: ribosomal RNA, 585 nt
Filed under: uncultured bacterium
Lineage: Bacteria
Description: partial 16S ribosomal RNA
Rfam family: Bacterial small subunit ribosomal RNA
Source: RNAcentral